GAUAUGGGUGACAGUGGCUGAACAUGAGCCAGCAGUGAGCCCAGGUGACCAAGAAGGGCAAUGGCAUCCUGGCCUGUAUCAGCAAUAGUGUGGCCAGCAGGACCCGGGCAGUGAUUUUCCCCCUGUACUCGGCGCUAGUGAGGCCACACCUCGAAUGCU
Long non-coding RNA from Corvus hawaiiensis (hawaiian crow), 159 nucleotides. RefSeq lists it as uncharacterized. The record is from RefSeq and is a predicted model, not a curated record. The transcript is spliced from 3 exons. Lineage: Eukaryota; Metazoa; Chordata; Aves; Passeriformes; Corvidae.